AUGCAAGUCGUACGGUAAGCUUCGGCUUAUAGUGGCGAAAGGGAGAGUAACGCGUGGUUACAUGCCCUCGGGACCGGGAUAGCGGCGGGAAACUGCCGGUAAUACCGGAUAAUAUCUUUGGAUCAAAGGUGUGAUUCCGCCCGAGGAUUGGACCGCGUUCUAUUAGCUUGUUGGCGGGGUAAUGGCCCACCAAGGCGACGAUGGAUACCGGGUGUGAGAGCAUGGCCCGGCUCACUGGGACUGAGACACUGCCCAGACACCUACGGGUGGCUGCAGUCGAGAAUCUUCGGCAAUGGGGGCAACCCUGACCGAGCGACGCCGCGUGCGGGACGAAGGCCUUCGGGUUGUAAACCGCUGUCAGUUGGGAGGAAGUGCCGGGGGGUUCUCCCCUCGGUUUGACCGAUCUUCAGAGGAAGGACGGGCUAAGUUCGUGCCAGCAGCCGCGGUAAGACGAACCGUCCAAACGUUAUUCGGUAUCACUGGGCUUAAAGCGUGCGUAGGCGGCCUGGUAGGUGAGGUGUGAAAGCCCACGGCUCAACCGUGGAAUUGCGCUUCAAACCACCAGGCUGGAGGAUGGCAGGGGUGAUGGGAACUGAUGGUGGAGCGGUGAAAUGCGUUGAUAUCAUCAGGAACAUCGGUGGCGAAGGCGCAUCACUGGGCCAUUUCUGACGCUGAGGCACGAAAGCUAGGGUAGCGAACGGGAUUAGAUACCCCGGUAGUCCUAGCUGUAAACGAUGAGCACUGGGUUGAGGGGACCUCCACAUCUUCUCGGCCGUAG
Molecule: ribosomal RNA, 778 nt
Filed under: uncultured Planctomycetota bacterium
Lineage: Bacteria; Pseudomonadati; Planctomycetota
Description: bacterial SSU rRNA
Rfam family: Bacterial small subunit ribosomal RNA
Source: RNAcentral